GUAGCCAAGUGGAUUAAGGCAAUGGAUUGUGAAUCCAUCAUUCGCGGGUUCAAUUCCCGUC
RNAcentral lists this transfer RNA (61 nucleotides) under Terniopsis yongtaiensis. RNAcentral's name for it is "Terniopsis sp. BC-2022a tRNA-His". It matches the Rfam family "tRNA", at positions 7 to 64 of the family's 71-position model. From Rfam's summary of the family: Transfer RNA (tRNA) molecules are approximately 80 nucleotides in length. Lineage: Eukaryota; Viridiplantae; Streptophyta; Magnoliopsida; Malpighiales; Podostemaceae. The record is from RNAcentral.